This 524-nucleotide ribosomal RNA is filed under the name uncultured bacterium. RNAcentral describes it as "partial 16S ribosomal RNA". It matches the Rfam family "Bacterial small subunit ribosomal RNA", at positions 28 to 523 of the family's 1533-position model. The record is from RNAcentral.
GACGAACGCUGGCGGCGUGCCUAAUACAUGCAAGUCGAACGAAGCUGUUUUAACUGGUGCUUGCACCGACUUAAACAACUGAGUGGCGAACGGGUGAGUAACACGUGGGUAACCUGCCCCAAAGCGGGGGAUAACAUUUGGAAACAGAUGCUAAUACCGCAUAACCACAGAAACCACAUGGUUUCUGUGUCAAAGAUGGUUUCGGCUAUCACUUUGGGAUGGACCCGCGGCGUACUAGCUAGUUGGUAAGGUAAUGGCUUACCAAGGCAAUGAUACGUAGCCGAACUGAGAGGGUGAUCGGCCACAGUGGGACUGAGACACGGCCCAAACUCCUACGGGAAGCAGCAGUAGGGAAUCUUGCACAAUGGACGAAAGUCUGAUGGAGCAACGCCGCGUGAGUGAAGAAGGUUUUCGGAUCGUAAAACUCUGUUGUCAGAGAAGAACGUGUGCGAGAGUAACUGUUCGUGCAGUGACGGUAUCUGGCCAGAAAGCCACGGCUAACUACGUGCCAGCCGCCGCCGUAA